Molecule: long non-coding RNA, 652 nt
Organism: Myotis myotis
Lineage: Eukaryota; Metazoa; Chordata; Mammalia; Chiroptera; Vespertilionidae
Exons: 3
Source: RefSeq, a predicted model, not a curated record
GCAUAUAAAUCCCACUAAUUCAAGUGAAAUCUCUGCUUAUUCUUUUGUCAAUAUAGGUGAGUUUCCAUUUGUCUAUUUGCUAUGGAGGCCAAAGAGGUUUCCUGUAAACUUGAAGAGGCUCUUAAAAUUUCCAGGACUGUUGACAUAAUUUCAUAAACUCUGGAAAAUAUUAGCUGUGGAUGAAAAUGUUUCCCUUUGCCAGCAGAUGUCACCGUUGCCUCUUAGCACUGACUAUAGUGUCUACAGGAGAUGAAGAUGAUGGAGAGCAAGCGAAGUAUUUUACUAAAAUCUCUGAAACUCCAAAGGAAGAAGGAAUAUGGUCCACAAAAGCAAGGGAGUGCACUGAGAGAAAAGGCAUGGGACCCCUGGAACAAACUUUGAUAGGAGAGAGGCAAAAGGAAUUCACCAGCAUGGUAAUGAAAAGUCCUAGAUGAGAACUUCUGAGUGGAUCCAAGUGCAACUCUCCCAUACUACAGCAGGAAAACAAAAACUCCAAGAUGGAGGACUCCCAAAGGAAAAGCAAUGGUGUUUACCAACAGAGUUUUACUAUUCUUGUGGUGAGUUUAAAGAAAAAUUAGCAGUAUAGACAGAGUCAACUCAGCAAACAAGAAAUAAAAUAAGGGUUUAUUAACUACAGGGAGACAAAAAUAUG